GUACUCUCACACUCUCAAUUACUUUGGAUUGGGAGCGGUGGACUUGGGUGUUGCCGCUUGACUGUGGCUCACCUGAAAUAUGUUAGUGCACCUCUUGAUUGGACAUAGUACGGCGUGAUAAGAGUCUUCGCCGGCUCCUCGCAAAGAGGGUGGCCGAUCGGGAGCUCUGUUGCUUCAAACUGUCUUCGGACAAUCUUCUGGCG
This 203-nucleotide unclassified non-coding RNA is filed under the name uncultured Sebacina. RNAcentral describes it as "sequence contains ITS2". Lineage: Eukaryota; Fungi; Basidiomycota; Agaricomycetes; Sebacinales; Sebacinaceae. The record is from RNAcentral.